UACGAAGGGUGCAAGCGUUACUCGGAAUUACUGGGCGUAAAGCGUGCGCAGGCGGUUUUGUAAGCCAGGUGUGAAAUCCCCGGGCUCAACCUGGGAAUGGCAUUUGGGACUGCAAGGCUGGAGUGCGGCAGAGGAGACUGGAAUUCCUGGUGUAGCAGUGAAAUGCGUAGAUAUCAGGAGGAACACCGAUGGCGAAGGCAGGUCUCUGGGCUCUACCUGACGCUGAGGCGCGAAAGCGUGGGGAGCGAACCGG
This 253-nucleotide ribosomal RNA is filed under the name uncultured bacterium. RNAcentral describes it as "partial 16S ribosomal RNA". It matches the Rfam family "Bacterial small subunit ribosomal RNA", at positions 524 to 776 of the family's 1533-position model. The record is from RNAcentral.